RNAcentral lists this long non-coding RNA (1045 nucleotides) under Homo sapiens (human). RNAcentral's name for it is "testis expressed 41". Lineage: Eukaryota; Metazoa; Chordata; Mammalia; Primates; Hominidae. The record is from RNAcentral.
AGACCUAUGAAGGUCGAAGGGGAAGAAAAGCUGUAUCGAUUGUUGAGAUCUGGCGACUUGUUUAAAUUUCAUCAGCCUCACUUCUAUGAACUCUCAGAGCUGAUUACCAACUCCUACCACUGUUAACCCUCAUCCAGGAACAAGCUUAUGUCUUUAACAUUCUGAGUGGGCUUCAGCAUCCUUGCAUAUGUUCAAUUCUUAAAAACCUGUUGAAAUAAAAGAUCAGGAGACAUAGGAAGGAUGCCAGAAGAGAGCGUGGCCUCACGUGUACCAGCUCUCUGCUCUCCUUUGCCUUGGGACGUUCCAUCCCUGGAAGUUUCCCUGCCCACAUCUUUGUAGAGAGUCCAUUCUCCAAGCUUCAGUGUGUCAUCUGUGAGGACCGUGACCCACCUGGUACAUCGCCUCAGGGCAUUCAUUUCAGGCUCCUUCUAAAUGGCCAAGGAUCUUGGAAGCAGAGGGAUCUGCAGAAGUGCUUGCAACACUUUCAGCCUUAACCAGCAUCAGAGACAAAAAUCCUUUCUGGAAUGAGGCCAUGAGAGAAGCAGUACCUUAUAAUGGUUCCUUGUUCAAAGCACUCAAUAUUCCUAGGAUGUGGUCUCCCAGCUGACUUCAUAACUGAAUCAUCAGUAAUUAAUUUCAUUGUUCUAUUAGAUGACCUCAACCUCUUGGCCAUUUGCUCUGUGUUUCACACAGGACUUUACUGAAGACUCUAAGGAGGACCUGUAUCUGUUGGGAUCCUCAGGGCAAGCCACAGAAACAAGCUUUGGAUACUAGAAGCAGAAAAUGGAGAUAUUGAAGACUAUUGUGGAGUUUACUGUGAGCCAGAGAACCAGGCUGGGGGGCUGUAUCACUUAGAAUGAGAUCCAAACUCACACCAUAGUUCCAUCCUUGAGGUUGCCAUGUUGCUGCCACCCCUCCUGCCACCCCACCACUGAAGCUUUGGAUGCUGGAUUCUGGGCACAGCAGGGAGAAGUGUUGCUUAUUACCAUUUUAGUAUGUUUUCUUUCAAGACCUUUUCAAAAUAUACAUACGUAUUUUUAUUUCU